UGGGGAAUUUUGGACAAUGGGGGAAACCCUGAUCCAGCCAUCCCGCGUGUGCGAUGAAGGCCUUCGGGUUGUAAAGCACUUUUGGCAGGAAAGAAACGUCAUGGGUUAAUACCCCGUGAAACUGACGGUACCUGCAGAAUAAGCACCGGCUAACUACGUGCCAGCAGCCGCGGUAAUACGUAGGGUGCAAGCGUUAAUCGGAAUUACUGGGCGUAAAGCGUGCGCAGGCGGUUCGGAAAGAAAGAUGUGAAAUCCCAGAGCUCAACUUUUGAACUACAUUUUUAACUACCGGGCUAGAGUGUGGCAGAGGGAGGUGGAAUUCCGCGUGUAGCAGUGAAAUGCGUAGAUAUGCGGAGGAACACCGAUGGCGAAGGCAGCCUCCUGGGAUAACACUGACGCUCAUGCACGAAAGCGUGGGGAGCAAACAGG
RNAcentral lists this ribosomal RNA (429 nucleotides) under Acidobacteriota bacterium. Its description in RNAcentral is "Acidobacteria bacterium partial 16S ribosomal RNA". It matches the Rfam family "Bacterial small subunit ribosomal RNA", at positions 355 to 776 of the family's 1533-position model. Lineage: Bacteria; Pseudomonadati; Acidobacteriota. The record is from RNAcentral.